RNAcentral lists this ribosomal RNA (485 nucleotides) under uncultured bacterium. RNAcentral's name for it is "partial 16S ribosomal RNA". It matches the Rfam family "Bacterial small subunit ribosomal RNA", at positions 28 to 507 of the family's 1533-position model. The record is from RNAcentral.
GAUGAACGCUAGCGAUAGGCUUAACACAUGCAAGUCGAGGGGCAGCGCGGAUAGCAAUACCUGUCGGCGACCGGCGCACGGGUGAGUAACGCGUAUGUAACCUGCCCGCAACAGGGGGAUAACCCGGCGAAAGUCGGACUAAUACCGCAUAAAACAGGGGUCCCGCAUGGGAAUAUUUGUUAAAGAUUUAUCGGUUGCGGAUGGGCAUGCGUACCAUUAGGUAGUUGGUGAGGUAACGGCUCACCAAGCCUUCGAUGGUUAGGGGUUCUGAGAGGAAGGUCCCCCACACUGGUACUGAGACACGGACCAGACUCCUACGGGAGGCAGCAGUGAGGAAUAUUGGUCAAUGGGCGAGAGCCUGAACCAGCCAAGUCGCGUGAAGGAUGACUGCCCUAUGGGUUGUAAACUUCUUUUACAAGGGAAUAAAAUGAGAUACGUGUAUUUUAUUGCAUGUACCUUGGGAAUAAGCAUCGGCUAACUCCGUG